ACUAGCAGCCAUAUCGCCCUGCAACUCACAACCGGCAACCCACUGAAUCUAAGCAGGGCUGAGCCUGGUCAGUACCUGGUUGGGAGACCUUCCUGUGAAAACCUGUGGUUGUUGCUGGAA
RNAcentral lists this ribosomal RNA (120 nucleotides) under Lepisosteus oculatus (spotted gar). Lineage: Eukaryota; Metazoa; Chordata; Actinopteri; Semionotiformes; Lepisosteidae. The record is from RNAcentral.